UUGAAUUGUGUAUUAACAUUUAAUUUCUGAUUUUCAGUUGAAUCUGUCUUCUUUCCAGAACUUCUUUCUUGGAUAAGUCCUAGACAUUCGUACCUCAGAGAAUACAUACUUCCGCCAAUACCUCUUAGCAAAAAUCAAUUGAAAGAUAAGAGAGACUGAGAAUGCACAUCUCUUCAGAAAGAAGAAAAGAAGGAAAAUAAUACUAGAUUUGCUCUACAAGAAGAAAUUAUAAAUGAUGUGAAAAUUCUGUCUGUGCUGCAUAACCGGCUCUUUUCUCUCAAGGACUUCUCAGCGCUUGGAACUGUACUCUGUGGGUACUUAAACUUUAAUUGAUGAUCAUAAGCAUUUCAUUUGUAUUUUCAUUUUCUUUCCUUGGCC
RNAcentral lists this long non-coding RNA (378 nucleotides) under Pan troglodytes (chimpanzee). Its description in RNAcentral is "lncRNA (ENSPTRG00000054640.1)". Lineage: Eukaryota; Metazoa; Chordata; Mammalia; Primates; Hominidae. The record is from RNAcentral.